RNAcentral lists this ribosomal RNA (520 nucleotides) under Bacillus aerius. Its description in RNAcentral is "bacterial SSU rRNA". It matches the Rfam family "Bacterial small subunit ribosomal RNA", at positions 45 to 547 of the family's 1533-position model. The record is from RNAcentral. Lineage: Bacteria; Bacillati; Bacillota; Bacilli; Caryophanales; Bacillaceae.
UGCCUUAUUCAUGCAGUUCGAGCGGACAGAAGGGAGCUUGCUUCCCGGAUGUUAGCGGCGGACGGGUGAGUAACACGUGGGUAACCUGCCUGUAAGACUGGGAUAACUCCGGGAAACCGGAGCUAAUACCGGAUAGUUCCUUGAACCGCAUGGUUCAAGGAUGAAAGACGGUUUCGGCUGUCACUUACAGAUGGACCCGCGGCGCAUUAGCUAGUUGGUGAGGUAACGGCUCACCAAGGCGACGAUGCGUAGCCGACCUGAGAGGGUGAUCGGCCACACUGGGACUGAGACACGGCCCAGACUCCUACGGGAGGCAGCAGUAGGGAAUCUUCCGCAAUGGACGAAAGUCUGACGGAGCAACGCCGCGUGAGUGAUGAAGGUUUUCGGAUCGUAAAGCUCUGUUGUUAGGGAAGAACAAGUGCAAGAGUAACUGCUUGCACCUUGACGGUACCUAACCAGAAAGCCACGGCUAACUACGUGCCAGCAGCCGCGGUAAUACGUAGGUGGCAAGCGUUGUCCG